This 497-nucleotide ribosomal RNA is filed under the name uncultured bacterium. RNAcentral's name for it is "partial 16S ribosomal RNA". It matches the Rfam family "Bacterial small subunit ribosomal RNA", at positions 28 to 507 of the family's 1533-position model. The record is from RNAcentral.
GAUGAACGCUGGCGGCGUGCCUAAUACAUGCAAGUCGAGCGAACAGACGAGGAGCUUGCUCCUCUGACGUUAGCGGCGGACGGGUGAGUAACACGUGGUUAACCUAUCUAUAAGACUUAGAUUACUUCGGGAAACCGGAGCUAAUACCGGAUAAUUUAUUUAACCUCAUGUUUCAAUAGUGUUAUCGGGUAUUGCUGUCCCUUAUAGCUGUAUCCGCGCCGCAUUAGCUAGUUGGUAAGGUAACGGCUUACCAAGGCGACGAUGCGUAGCCGAACUGCGAGGGUGAUCGGCCGCACUAGAGCUGAGACACGGUCCAGGCUACUAAGGGAGGCAGCAGUAGCGUAUCGGACGCAGUGGGCGACAGUCUGACGGAGCAGCGCCACGUGAGUGAUGAAGGUCUUCGGAUCGUAAAACUCUGUUAUUAGGGAAGAACAAAUGUGUAAGGGACUAUGCACGUCUUGACGGUACCUAAUCAGAAAGCCACGGCUAACUACGUG